CAAGUGGAGUUGUCUCAAAAAACCUAAGAGACAGCAAGACAAAAGGAAAGCCACUCAUUCCAGCACCUGUUCAUGAUAGGGCAGACCUUGGAGCAAUGGGUCAGUGCUGCAUCGAGGCAGAUUGCAGCGGGCAUGAAACAACUUCCUAAGGAUGAAUUGUCCCAUUUUAAAACAUUUCACAAGGCAGUGAGCUCCUCAUCACUAGAGGUAUUCAAGGGGAGACUGGAAGACUACAUAUGGAAGAGAUUCCGGUAUUCAGGCAUUCUUAAACGCCUUGUUGCUUUGCUCCACUGCAUUCUCCUCCAUGGUUUCUAGGCUGCUGCUGGUUGAUGACAGAUGUAAUUUUGACAUCAUGGCAUGGUGGUGGACCAUGGAUGUGGAAUGCAGCAUACCUUGUCAUUCAUGGCCAACAGGGAUGUGGGAGAUUCUCAUAAAUGUCAAUAUGAACAUUUGGGCUCUUUUGGCCCAAAGGGGCAACUCAGGAAGGACAGAGAGUGAGCCUCAGGCUGAGGGUGA
This is a non-coding RNA of Phascolarctos cinereus (koala), 516 nucleotides long. The record is from RefSeq and is a predicted model, not a curated record. NCBI's taxonomy places the organism in Eukaryota, Metazoa, Chordata, Mammalia, Diprotodontia, Phascolarctidae.